RNAcentral lists this ribosomal RNA (458 nucleotides) under uncultured Geobacillus sp. RNAcentral's name for it is "bacterial SSU rRNA". It matches the Rfam family "Bacterial small subunit ribosomal RNA", at positions 923 to 1382 of the family's 1533-position model. Lineage: Bacteria; Bacillati; Bacillota; Bacilli; Caryophanales; Anoxybacillaceae. The record is from RNAcentral.
GCACAAGCGGUGGAGCAUGUGGUUAAUUCGACGCAACGCGAAGAACCUUACCAGGGCUUGACAUCCCCUGACCGCGUAUGAAAGUACGUUUUCACCCUCGGGUGACAGGGAGACAGGUGGUGCAUGGUUGUCGUCAGCUCGUGUCGUGAGAUGUUGGGUUAAGUCCCGCAACGAGCGCAACCCUCGCCUCUAGUUGCCAGCAUUCGGUUGGGCACUCUAGAGGGACUGCCGGCGACAAGUCGGAGGAAGGUGGGAUGACGUCAAAUCAUCAUGCCCCUUAUGACCUGGGCUACACACGUGCUACAAUGGGCGGUACAAAGGGCUGCGAACCCGCGAGGGGGAGCGAAUCCCAAAAAGCCGCUCUCAGUUCGGAUUGCAGGCUGCAACUCGCCUGCAUGAAGCCGGAAUCGCUAGUAAUCGCGGAUCAGCAUGCCGCGGUGAAUACGUUCCCGGGCCUU